GUCGCGAUUUCCAGGGGAGAGACUACGUCUUGCUUCUUCGGGACUCCUCUCAUCAGGAGUGGGGCUACGUUUCAUAGCUUUUGAAGGAGGAGGCGACAAACUGUGCCUCUUUGGGCUUGGUCUGCCUCUUGGGCUCCUUGAUCUUUUAUCUGAUCGUUCGAGGCUUCUCUCUCUUUUUACGGGCGAUCUAGAUCGGCUGUAGCUACGACCUCUG
RNAcentral lists this unclassified non-coding RNA (214 nucleotides) under Hevea brasiliensis (rubber tree). The record is from RNAcentral. Lineage: Eukaryota; Viridiplantae; Streptophyta; Magnoliopsida; Malpighiales; Euphorbiaceae.